RNAcentral lists this ribosomal RNA (448 nucleotides) under uncultured bacterium. Its description in RNAcentral is "bacterial SSU rRNA". It matches the Rfam family "Bacterial small subunit ribosomal RNA", at positions 355 to 825 of the family's 1533-position model. The record is from RNAcentral.
CAGGGAAUCUUGCACAAUGGGCGAAAGCCUGAUGCAGCGACGCCGCGUGGGGGAUGAAGGCCUUAGGGUCAUAAACCCCUUUCAGCAGGGACGAAAAUGACGGUACCUGCAGAAGAAGCCCCGGCCAACUACGUGCCAGCAGCCGCGGUAAGACGUAGGGGGCGAGCGUUGUCCGGAUUUAUUGGGCGUAAAGAGCUCGUAGGCGGUUGCGUAAGUCGGAUGUGAAAACUCAGGGCUCAACCCUGAGACGCCAUCCGAUACUGCGCUGACUUGAAUCCAGUAGGGGAGUGCGGAAUUCCUGGUGUAGCGGUGAAAUGCGCAGAUAUCAGGAGGAACACCCAUGGCGAAGGCAGCACUCUGGGCUGGUAUUGACGCUGAGGAGCGAAAGCAUGGGUAGCGAACAGGAUUAGAUACCCACGUAGUCCCUGAGCGGGCUGGCAAGGCGCAU